Oncorhynchus gorbuscha (pink salmon) is the source of this 981-nucleotide long non-coding RNA. RefSeq lists it as uncharacterized. The transcript is spliced from 4 exons. NCBI's taxonomy places the organism in Eukaryota, Metazoa, Chordata, Actinopteri, Salmoniformes, Salmonidae. The record is from RefSeq and is a predicted model, not a curated record.
AUUAUGACGUCACUGCUCCCGUUAAGUUUUGCAACCAGGCUCUUUUUUUCCCCUGUAUGAUCCACAUGCGAUGGUAUGAAAGUUGUACAACGCUAACUGUACAUGCAGGACUGAAAUACUCUAGAAUGUAAUGUCACUGUAUAGGCCCUGUACAUUUUUACGAAAGGGGAUGUAUGCCCGAUCAGUCGGUAGUGUCGAAGCCUGGAGAGACCCCGCAACUUUUCCUGAUGUGUGGCAGAGGGUAGACAUUUUUUUUGGUUUACAUUAGUUACCUAGCUUCAUACUAUACAGUACUACUGAAACCUUGUAUGUAGAUUUUACAGGACAGUUCUCAAGACGACCAUGGCUAACCGACUGUCAGACCUUUUCUCGAACAGCCGUCUCGUCAUUGGAUUAUUGGCCAAUUUGCUAUCAUCCAUAUGCAUCGUUUUCAUCAACAAAUGGAUCUAUGUUCACUAUGGCUUUCCAAACAUGACUCUAACUCUGAUUCAUUUCGUUGUGACAUGGCUUGGACUAUGGGUAUGCCAGAAGAUGGACAUAUUUGCGCCAAAGAGUCUCCAACCCACCAAAAUUAUCUGGCUCGCUCUAAGUUUCUGUGGCUUCGUGGCUUUCACCAAUCUGUCUUUACAAAACAACACCAUCGGUACUUACCAGCUGGCCAAAGCGAUGACAACUCCUGUGAUCAUUGUCAUACAGACAAUGUACUACAAGAAGACAUUCUCCACCAAGAUCAAGUUGACUUUGGUGCCCAUAACGUUAGGUGUGAUCCUCAACUCCUACUAUGAUGUGAGAUUCAACCUCCUGGGAUGGUCUUUGCCACACUAGGGGUGUUCGUCACCUCCCUCUAUCAGGUGUGGGUAGGUGUGAAACAGCAUGAGCUCCAGGUUAACUCCAUGCAGCUACUCUACUACCAGGCCCCCAUGUCCUCUGCCUUCCUCCUCUCCCUCGUGCCCUUCUUCGAACCUCUCUCUGGGGAGGGGG